GCGGGUAUAGCAUAGUGGUAAUGCCCUAGCCUUCCAAGCUAGUUAGAGGGGUUCGAUUCCCCUUACCCGCUCCA
RNAcentral lists this transfer RNA (74 nucleotides) under Alphaproteobacteria bacterium. RNAcentral describes it as "tRNA-Gly". It matches the Rfam family "tRNA". From Rfam's summary of the family: Transfer RNA (tRNA) molecules are approximately 80 nucleotides in length. Their secondary structure includes four short double-helical elements and three loops (D, anti-codon, and T loops). Further hydrogen bonds mediate the characteristic L-shaped molecular structure. tRNAs have two regions of fundamental functional importance: the anti-codon, which is responsible for specific mRNA codon recognition, and the 3' end, to which the tRNAs corresponding amino acid is attached (by aminoacyl-tRNA synthetases). tRNAs cope with the degeneracy of the genetic code in two manners: having more than one tRNA (with a specific anti-codon) for a particular amino acid; and 'wobble' base-pairing, i.e. permitting non-standard base-pairing at the 3rd anti-codon position. Lineage: Bacteria; Pseudomonadati; Pseudomonadota; Alphaproteobacteria. The record is from RNAcentral.